AAGGAAUAUUGGUCAAUGGACGCAAGUCUGAACCAGCCAUGCCGCGUGAAGGAUGAAGGUCCUCUGGAUUGUAAACUUCUUUUAUCUGGGACGAAAACGGGAUUUUUAUCUCAAUUGACGGUACCAGAGGAAUAAGCACCGGCUAACUCCGUGCCAGCAGCCGCGGUAAUACGGAGGGUGCGAGCGUUAUCCGGAUUUACUGGGUUUAAAGGGUGCGUAGGUGGGCUUAUAAGUCAGUGGUGAAAUCUCCGAGCUUAACUUGGAAACUGCCGUUGAUACUAUAGGUCUUGAAUUAUCUGGAGGUAAGCGGAAUAUGUCAUGUAGCGGUGAAAUGCUUAGAUAUGACAUAGAACACCAAUUGCGAAGGCAGCUUACUACAUAUAAAUUGACGCUGAGGCACGAAAGCGUGGGUAGCGAACA
Molecule: ribosomal RNA, 420 nt
Filed under: uncultured bacterium
Lineage: Bacteria
Description: bacterial SSU rRNA
Rfam family: Bacterial small subunit ribosomal RNA
Source: RNAcentral